Molecule: ribosomal RNA, 501 nt
Filed under: uncultured bacterium
Lineage: Bacteria
Description: bacterial SSU rRNA
Rfam family: Bacterial small subunit ribosomal RNA
Source: RNAcentral
AACGAACGCUGGCGGCGUGCUUAACACAUGCAAGUCGAACGCGAAAGGGACUUCGGUCCUGAGUAAAGUGGCGCACGGGUGAGUAACGCGUAGAUAACCUGUCUUCGAGUCUGGAAUAAUACACCGAAAGGGGUACUAAUACCGGAUAUUCUUUCACUUCAUAAGGAGUGCAAGCAAAAGGUGGCCUCUGUAUAUGCUACUGCUUGAAGAGGGGUCUGCGUACCAUUAGCUAGUAGGUAGGUAAAGGCCUACCAAGGCAAUGACGGGUAGGGGCGUGAGAGCGUGACCCCCCACACUGGUACUGACACACGGACCAGAUGCCUACGGGUAGCAGCAGCUAGGAAUAUUGGGCAAUGGGCGAAAGCCUGACCCAGCAACACCGCGUGAAGGACGACGGCCUUCGGGUUGUAAACUUCUUUUCGAGGGAAUGAGAAAGGACAGUACCCUCGGAAUAAGGCCCGGCUAACUACGUAGCCAGCAGCCGCGGUAAGCUAGUCUACG